GACGAACGCUGGCGGCGUGCCUAAUACAUGCGAGUUGAGCGCUGAAGGUUGGUACUUGUACCGACUGGAUGAGCAGCGAACGGGUGAGUAACGCGUGGGGAAUCUGCCUUUGAGCGGGGGACAACAUUUGGAAACGAAUGCUAAUACCGCAUAAAAACUUUAAACACAAGUUUUAAGUUUGAAAGAUGCAAUUGCCUCACUCAAAGAUGAUCCCGCGUUGUAUUAGCUAGUUGGUGAGGUAAAGGCUCACCAAGGCGAUGAUACAUAGCCGACCUGAGAGGGUGAUCGGCCACAUUGGGACUGAGACACGGCCCAAACUCCUACGGGAGGCAGCAGUAGGGAAUCUUCGGCAAUGGACGAAAGUCUGACCGAGCAACGCCGCGUGAGUGAAGAAGGGUUUCGGAUCGUAAAACUCUGUUGGUAGAGAAGAACGUUGGUGAGAGUGGAAAGCUCAUCAAGUGACGGUAACUACCCAGAAAGGGACGGCUAACUACGUG
This 497-nucleotide ribosomal RNA is filed under the name uncultured bacterium. RNAcentral describes it as "partial 16S ribosomal RNA". It matches the Rfam family "Bacterial small subunit ribosomal RNA", at positions 28 to 507 of the family's 1533-position model. The record is from RNAcentral.